CCUUCUCCUCUUCGUCUUUUACUUUUAAUGAAUAGAUUGAUGGAAUAAUCCUUUUAUUUACGUAGGAUAAAAUUUUAAACUCAUGCAGUUUUUGAGCAGUAGAUUAUUAGGUUAGGGACACUUUAAAUUUAAAUCAAUAUCUAAACAACUUUUAAAAACCCCAGUAUUUCAUUUUGAAUAAUUACUGCCCUACAAACUAAACCAUUAUCCAUUUACAUAAUCUUCUUUGAAUUACAUGUUUGUAUUUUUGACAGGUGUUGAGUUGGCUGACUGUGUUCCCUGGGUAUCCACUGGUAGAUUGGUUCCAGGAGCCCCUGAAAAUACCAAAAUUCAGGAAUGUUCAAGUCCCGUGUAGAAAAUGGCACAUCCAGACUGUUAGUUUUGCUUCGCAAGACCAAGAACACCAGCAUUUCUCCUGAUGCCUGUGCAGAGACUACAACAAGCCACUGCUAUUGCGAAAAAAGGAGUAAAAAAGGAGAAUUGUGAAAAAAGUUAUUAUCUUUGAAAGAUUAACUUUGAAGCUAAGGAUUUCAGCUCAUAUUGGUAUUGUUUGGCCAUGGCAUAGUCCGAAGAGCUUAUAUGUUGAAUGAUGAAUGUCUCAGAUACCUAGACAGUUUGCUGUAAGGUGUUAAGGCAGCCUUGCUAUUAGGAAUCAUAUUCAAAGAGUGGCAAACACAAGAAGGUCCCUUGUACAGCAUCUGUUCUCAAGUGUCUUCUUCCAAACCUUUCACUACUUCAAACGUAGAAUCUAAAUACCAUUUCUAGCCGCUGUCUAGACAGGGCUGGCUGCUUCAUUAAACUCUGUCCCGGAGCACGUAAACGGCAGUUUGCUGGGAGGAGUGUCCUUUUGCAGACACAAAGUCCACUUGCGGGAAAGCUCUUGCGCCCUCCUACAGCCUCUCCUUGAGGCCUCAGAGACGCGACCCCUGGAGGUGCGACAGGAAACACGAGGACUAGGGCAAGAAAACAGUGGCCGGCAGGCUCUGAGAUGACGUUCUUAACUAGCUGCACUUUCCUCCGUCUCCCUCCUUCAGGGCUUCGGGUGAGAAGAGAAAAUAAUCUCACGUGUUUCGAUGUGCUGCCCAGCAGUGUCCUAUCGCUGGCAGUAGAUCACAGUCCUGGCUGAUACACGAAAACAACCCUCGGCCCAUUCGUCAUGAGGAAUAGUAUCCCCUGUACAGACUCCUCCGACACUCUUCGACACGAUAGACAAUAAGCUGUAGUUAUUUAGGUUACAUCUGUUCAUAUCUUUACUAAAUGCAUCUGAGACGUAGUUUUCAGCAGAGAAAAUGCCAGUGUGAGCAAACGAACACGCU
RNAcentral lists this long non-coding RNA (1316 nucleotides) under Sus scrofa (pig). Its description in RNAcentral is "lncRNA (ENSSSCG00050009627.1)". The record is from RNAcentral. Lineage: Eukaryota; Metazoa; Chordata; Mammalia; Artiodactyla; Suidae.